This 484-nucleotide ribosomal RNA is filed under the name uncultured bacterium. Its description in RNAcentral is "partial 16S ribosomal RNA". It matches the Rfam family "Bacterial small subunit ribosomal RNA", at positions 29 to 523 of the family's 1533-position model. The record is from RNAcentral.
AGUGAACGCUGGCGGCGUGCUUAACACAUGCAAGUCGAACGAGAACGGAUUAUAGCUUGCUAUAAUUGUCAGCUAAGUGGCGCACGGGUGAGUAAUGUAUAGGUAAUAUGCCUCUUACUAAGGGAUAGCAAAUGGAAACGUUUGCUAAUACCUUAUACUCCUUAUUAACAUAAGUUAAUAAGGGAAAGAUUUAUUGGUAAGAGAUUAGCCUGUAUUGUAUCAGUUAGUUGGUGGGGUAAUGGCUUACCAAGACUAUGACACAUAACUGGUUUGAGAGGAUGAUCAGUCACACUGGAACUGAGACACGGUCCAGACUCCUACGGGAGGCAGCAGUGGGGAAUAUUGCACAAUGGACGAAAGUCUGAUGCAGCAACGCCGCGUGGAGGAUGACACAUUUCGGUGCGUAAACUCCUUUUAUAUGAGAAGAUAAUGACGGUAUUAUAUGAAUAAGCACCGGCUAACCCCGUGCCAGCCGCCGCAGUAA